GGGUUGUGAGGUUAAGCGACUAAGCGUACACGGUGGAUGCCCUGGCAGUCAGAGGCGAUGAAGGACGUGCUAAUCUGCGAUAAGCGUCGGUAAGGUGAUAUGAACCGUUAUAACCGGCGAUUUCCGAAUGGGGAAACCCAGUGUGAUUCGUCACACUAUCAUUAACUGAAUCCAUAGGUUAAUGAGGCGAACCGGGGGAACUGAAACAUCUAAGUACCCCGAGGAAAAGAAAUCAACCGAGAUUCCCCCAGUAGCGGCGAGCGAACGGGGAGCAGCCCAGAGCCUGAAUCAGUGUGUGUGUUAGUGGAAGCGUCUGGAAAGGCGCGCGAUACAGGGUGACAGCCCCGUACACAAAAAUGCACAUGCUGUGAGCUCGAUGAGUAGGGCGGGACACGUGGUAUCCUGUCUGAAUAUGGGGGGACCAUCCUCCAAGGCUAAAUACUCCUGACUGACCGAUAGUGAACCAGUACCGUGAGGGAAAGGCGAAAAGAACCCCGGCGAGGGGAGUGAAAAAGAACCUGAAACCGUGUACGUACAAGCAGUGGGAGCACGCUUAGGCGUGUGACUGCGUACCUUUUGUAUAAUGGGUCAGCGACUUAUAUUCUGUAGCAAGGUUAACCGAAUAGGGGAGCCGAAGGGAAACCGAGUCUUAACUGGGCGUUAAGUUGCAGGGUAUAGACCCGAAACCCGGUGAUCUAGCCAUGGGCAGGUUGAAGGUUGGGUAACACUAACUGGAGGACCGAACCGACUAAUGUUGAAAAAUUAGCGGAUGACUUGUGGCUGGGGGUGAAAGGCCAAUCAAACCGGGAGAUAGCUGGUUCUCCCCGAAAGCUAUUUAGGUAGCGCCUCGUGAAUUCAUCUCCGGGGGUAGAGCACUGUUUCGGCAAGGGGGUCAUCCCGACUUACCAACCCGAUGCAAACUGCGAAUACCGGAGAAUGUUAUCACGGGAGACACACGGCGGGUGCUAACGUCCGUCGUGAAGAGGGAAACAACCCAGACCGCCAGCUAAGGUCCCAAAGUCAUGGUUAAGUGGGAAACGAUGUGGGAAGGCCCAGACAGCCAGGAUGUUGGCUUAGAAGCAGCCAUCAUUUAAAGAAAGCGUAAUAGCUCACUGGUCGAGUCGGCCUGCGCGGAAGAUGUAACGGGGCUAAACCAUGCACCGAAGCUGCGGCAGCGACGCUUAUGCGUUGUUGGGUAGGGGAGCGUUCUGUAAGCCUGUGAAGGUGUGCUGUGAGGCAUGCUGGAGGUAUCAGAAGUGCGAAUGCUGACAUAAGUAACGAUAAAGCGGGUGAAAAGCCCGCUCGCCGGAAGACCAAGGGUUCCUGUCCAACGUUAAUCGGGGCAGGGUGAGUCGACCCCUAAGGCGAGGCCGAAAGGCGUAGUCGAUGGGAAACAGGUUAAUAUUCCUGUACUUGGUGUUACUGCGAAGGGGGGACGGAGAAGGCUAUGUUGGCCGGGCGACGGUUGUCCCGGUUUAAGCGUGUAGGCUGGUUUUCCAGGCAAAUCCGGAAAAUCAAGGCUGAGGCGUGAUGACGAGGCACUACGGUGCUGAAGCAACAAAUGCCCUGCUUCCAGGAAAAGCCUCUAAGCAUCAGGUAACAUCAAAUCGUACCCCAAACCGACACAGGUGGUCAGGUAGAGAAUACCAAGGCGCUUGAGAGAACUCGGGUGAAGGAACUAGGCAAAAUGGUGCCGUAACUUCGGGAGAAGGCACGCUGAUAUGUAGGUGAAGUCCCUCGCGGAUGGAGCUGAAAUCAGUCGAAGAUACCAGCUGGCUGCAACUGUUUAUUAAAAACACAGCACUGUGCAAACACGAAAGUGGACGUAUACGGUGUGACGCCUGCCCGGUGCCGGAAGGUUAAUUGAUGGGGUCAGCGCAAGCGAAGCUCUUGAUCGAAGCCCCGGUAAACGGCGGCCGUAACUAUAACGGUCCUAAGGUAGCGAAAUUCCUUGUCGGGUAAGUUCCGACCUGCACGAAUGGCGUAAUGAUGGCCAGGCUGUCUCCACCCGAGACUCAGUGAAAUUGAACUCGCUGUGAAGAUGCAGUGUACCCGCGGCAAGACGGAAAGACCCCGUGAACCUUUACUAUAGCUUGACACUGAACAUUGAGCCUUGAUGUGUAGGAUAGGUGGGAGGCUUAGAAGUGUGGACGCCAGUCUGCAUGGAGCCGACCUUGAAAUACCACCCUUUAAUGUUUGAUGUUCUAACGUUGACCCGUAAUCCGGGUUGCGGACAGUGUCUGGUGGGUAGUUUGACUGGGGCGGUCUCCUCCUAAAGAGUAACGGAGGAGCACGAAGGUUGGCUAAUCCUGGUCGGACAUCAGGAGGUUAGUGCAAUGGCAUAAGCCAGCUUGACUGCGAGCGUGACGGCGCGAGCAGGUGCGAAAGCAGGUCAUAGUGAUCCGGUGGUUCUGAAUGGAAGGGCCAUCGCUCAACGGAUAAAAGGUACUCCGGGGAUAACAGGCUGAUACCGCCCAAGAGUUCAUAUCGACGGCGGUGUUUGGCACCUCGAUGUCGGCUCAUCACAUCCUGGGGCUGAAGUAGGUCCCAAGGGUAUGGCUGUUCGCCAUUUAAAGUGGUACGCGAGCUGGGUUUAGAACGUCGUGAGACAGUUCGGUCCCUAUCUGCCGUGGGCGCUGGAGAACUGAGGGGGCUGCUCCUAGUACGAGAGGACCGGAGUGGACGCAUCACUGGUGUUCGGGUUGUCAUGCCAAUGGCACUGCCCGGUAGCUAAAUGCGGAAGAGAUAAGUGCUGAAAGCAUCUAAGCACGAAACUUGCCCCGAGAUGAGUUCUCCCUGACUCCUUGAGAGUCCUGAAGGAACGUUGAAGACGACGACGUUGAUAGGCCGGGUGUGUAAGCGCAGCGAUGCGUUGAGCUAACCGGUACUAAUGAACCGUGAGGCUUAACCUUACAACGCCGAAGCUGUU
Molecule: ribosomal RNA, 2929 nt
Filed under: Escherichia coli
Lineage: Bacteria; Pseudomonadati; Pseudomonadota; Gammaproteobacteria; Enterobacterales; Enterobacteriaceae
Description: 23S ribosomal RNA
Rfam family: Bacterial large subunit ribosomal RNA
Source: RNAcentral